Molecule: non-coding RNA, 2163 nt
Organism: Pelodiscus sinensis (Chinese soft-shelled turtle)
Lineage: Eukaryota; Metazoa; Chordata; Testudines; Trionychidae
Source: RefSeq, a predicted model, not a curated record
CGGAGGGGCGUCUCGGGGCCUGGCAGGAGCCGCGCUGCCUAGAGUCCGGCAUGCAUUGCGCUCCCCGGCCUGGCGGUGCUACUGGGGCAACCGCGUGUCCCCCUCCUCUCCCCCGCGGCCCCCUGUGAAGGGGACAGCAUCCCAGUGCUGCCAUGGCGUCACGCUCCGUGACGUCACAGUCACACGGGGUGACAUCAUAGGAUGCCAGGGAGACACCAUCUUGCUGCUGUUGGUUACACUCAGUGACAUCACAGUCACACAGGGUGACAUCAUAGGAUGCCAGGGAGACACCAUCUUGUUGCUAUUGCAUCAUCUGUGAGCAACAAGCUCAGCAGAAAGCAGCAGGGAAGGCCUCUGGCACAUGUAGGACAAAAAUCUCUCUGUGCUCUCAAGCUGCAGUCUUCCAUUCAGUUCCCAGAGCUCAGACACUGGUUGUGCUAAGAGAUACCUGAGAGGGCACUGUAGGCAUAGCAUGCAAAUGAGCUCAGCAAAUUCUGGAUUCCUGCCACACAACAACACACCUACGAGACACAGCAGAGAGAGAAAACAAAAACCACCAGAACCCAAACAGGCUGAAAUACUCGGACACACAACCGGGCCAUGGAAGGAGCUGGGGGAUCCAGAAAGCAUGCAUUGUAAGGAGACAACCCGGCACACAGAUACGUAUGUGCACGCUUGUUUACGUUCGUGUGGGAUGCUGCAUCUUUGCUGUGUGUUGAGACAGGGCAGGGACAGGGACAGAAGCAGCUUUAAUUGUUUUAUCUUGUUGUUGUUGUUGAGCGGAUGGGUAAUCGAGACUGUAUUUCUUAUCACCCACGGAGCCAUACAAAGCACAUAUCAAAACACAGACGGGGUCUAUUAGAGCAUCUUGCUAUAAACAACCUCAGUGCCACAGCCUGUCCUCGGUUACCCUGGGGAAGCUCUACUGACUCCAUCUGGCUCUCCGAAGCGUUAACUGGCAAGAGCUGGAGGUGGGGUUCUGUUCCCAGUGCUGCUGUUGACUGCCUGCUCCACAAUAAGUCAUUUCACUUGGCUGUGCCUUAGUUUCCUGGCCAUCAACUGGCAAAAGUAUCUGCCCACAUUUACAAAGGGCUUUGAGCUCUAUGCCUGAAAAAGCAUGAUACAGAGUACUAUUUGUAUCCAAAAAACAGCUCCCCGUGGCAGCACUGGUUUUGGGGAUAUUGGAUCAAUACAGAGAUAGAGUCAUCUGAGUCACUAACUCACCUGCUGACACCAUUGACACUCCUCCACUGAGGGCCAGACUCGCUAAUAAUGACUGAACUGAGCUGUGCCUCACGUAAAAUCCAAUCUUACCCCACAGGUGAGUGGAACUGGUCCCUACUGUACAGCACUCCUGUCUAUUUUAGACAGGCAAACUGUAGAGCUCUCCCAUCCAACUACUAAUCAGGCCCAAUCCUGCUGAUCUUCAGAAACACGAUGAAAUGCUGCCAGGAAGUAGUACAGCUGCAUAGCAACAAGCUGCUGCCUUUGCAAUGCUAGUGCACCUGCUCCAUUUGAAAUCGGCUCCAAAGCCCACUGACCCUAAUGGGAGCCUUUCCAUUGACUUCAUGAGCUUCGGAGCAGCUAAGAAGAGCCGCAGCAGGACUACAGUUGGACUAGGGCAGCUGAUUCAGGCUUGCGGGGCUAAUGCCCCGGGGCAAACAAUUGCUGGUAGAGACUCACGCUCAGACUGUAACCCGGGCUCUGAAACUCGGCAAGGCGGGUGGUCUAAGAGCGGAAGCGCCAAGCGUCUACUCUGCUAGUUUUAGCCUCGCUGCCCGAGCCAGAGUCGGCUGAUAUAGACACCAAGACACAGUGCUGGGGGUGUUGUGGGGGAGGUGUUACUGCAGGGGAGGUGCACCCUUUGAGUUGGGUGGAGCCAAAUCAUGCAGCUCUCUGUGCACUGAGCUCUUCCUGGAACCAGUGAGGGCUCCGGUGGGAUUGGGCACCGGGAAUGGAAUUCUCUCUACAUGGAGUCCCUGCAGCUGAAACAAGGUGCGGGGGGUGAGGGGAGGACAGGGGAGAUAAAGCUUGGGAGAGGGGAGGAGUCUAUCACAUUUGUGUUUAAAUAACACCGAUGUAUUUGUAUGAAUCAUUCAUUAUUCCCGUAUAACUAUAUGCAUCUGCAUGCAAAUAACUGCAAUGACGUACACGGUUAUAAAA